Molecule: non-coding RNA, 73 nt
Organism: Stegodyphus mimosarum
Lineage: Eukaryota; Metazoa; Arthropoda; Arachnida; Araneae; Eresidae
Source: Rfam
GCCUUCGUGGUGUAAUGGUCAGCACAUUGAGCCGGUAUUUCAGAGGUCCGUGGUUCGAUCCCCGGCGAAGGCA